CACCAGACUCCUACGGGAGGCAGCAGUGGGGAAUAUUGCACAAUGGGGGAAACCCUGAUGCAGCGACGCCGCGUGAGCGAUGAAGUAUUUCGGUAUGUAAAGCUCUAUCAGCAGGGAAGAAAAUGACGGUACCUGACUAAGAAGCCCCGGCUAACUACGUGCCAGCAGCCGCGGUAAUACGUAGGGGGCAAGCGUUAUCCGGAUUUACUGGGUGUAAAGGGAGCGUAGACGGCUGUGCAAGCCAGAUGUGAAAGCCCGGGGCUCAACCCCGGGACUGCAUUUGGAACUGUGUGGCUGGAGUGUCGGAGAGGCAGGCGGAAUUCCUAGUGUAGUGGUGAAAUGCGUAGAUAUUAGGAGGAACACCAGUGGCGAAGGCGGCCUGCUGGACGAUGACUGACGUUGAGGCUCGAAAGCGUGGGGAGCAAACAGGAUUAGAUACCCUAGUA
This 446-nucleotide ribosomal RNA is filed under the name uncultured bacterium. Its description in RNAcentral is "bacterial SSU rRNA". It matches the Rfam family "Bacterial small subunit ribosomal RNA", at positions 329 to 792 of the family's 1533-position model. The record is from RNAcentral.